AUGCUGUGUUGCAUUGCACAGAGCUAUGCUACACAGCACCACACUGCAUUGCACAGCACCAUGUUGCAUUGCACAGCAUGGCACACACAGUGCUGCAUUGCACAGUACUGUGCACACUGCAUUGCAAAGCUCACGCUGUGUUGCAUUGCACAGCACACAUGGUGCUCCAUUGCACAGCAUGGCACACAUGGUGCGGCAUUGCACAACACAAUGCACACUGCAUUGCACAGCUCACACUGUUCUGCAUUACACAGUACAGCGCAGCAUGCACUGUGCUGCAUUGCACAACACAGAGCACACAGCUCACACCAUGUUGCAUUGCACAGCACGGCACACACCGUAGUGCAUUGCACAGCACACACUGUGUUGCAUAGCACAGCAUGGCAUGGCACACACGGAGCUGCAAUGCACAGCACAGUGCACACAGCACUGCACAGCACACGCAAUGUUGCAUUACACAGCACAGCACACACUGCAUUGCACAGCCCACACCGUGCUGCAUUGCACAGCAUGGCACAGCACACAUGGAGCUGCAAUGCACAGCACAGCACAAACUGCAUUGCACAGCACACGCAGCGUUGCAUUACACAGCACAGCGCACACUGCAUUGCACAGCAUGGCACAGCUCACACCGUAUUGCAUUGCACAGCACACAUGAUGUUGCGUUGCACAGCACACGUGGUGCUGCAAUGCACAGCACAGUGCACACUGCAAUGCACACCACAGCUCACACCGUGUUGCAUUGCACAGCACAGUGCACGCAGCAUUGCACAGCUCACACCAUGUUGCAUUGCACAGCACAGCCCACACUGUAUUGCAUUGCACAGCACAGUGCACACACCGUGGUGCAUUGCACAGUACACGCAGUGUUGCAUUGCACAACACAGUGCACACCGCAUUGCAUUGCACAGCACACAUGAUGUUGCAUUGCACAGCACAGUGCACACUGCAUUGCACAGCAUGGCACCGCUCACACCGUGCAGCAUCGCACAGCACACACACGCUGCUUUACUGCACAGCUCACCCCGAGCCCCCAGCACCCACCCCGCACGCGCACCCCCCAGGCCCCGCCCCUCCCCCUUUAGCCCCGCCCCCCGCUCUCUGGUCCCCCCCCCCCCCCCCCCCCCCGCUGCCUCCAAUAAGAGCCGUGGGGCGUUUCCCGCCGCCCUGCGGGGGCCGAGCCAAGAUGGCGGCGGCGGCGGCGCGGGGCGGGCCGGGGGCUGA
This 1224-nucleotide long non-coding RNA is filed under the name Anas platyrhynchos platyrhynchos (common mallard). RNAcentral's name for it is "lncRNA (ENSAPLG00000029586.1)". Lineage: Eukaryota; Metazoa; Chordata; Aves; Anseriformes; Anatidae. The record is from RNAcentral.